AGUGAACGCUGGCGGUAGGCCUAACACAUGCCAGCCGAACGGCAGCACAGUAAGAGCUUGCUCUUACGGGUGGCGAGUGGCGGACGGGUGAGGAAUACAUCGGAAUCUACUUUUUCGUGGGGGAUAACGUAGGGAAACUUACGCUAAUACCGCAUACGACCUACGGGUGAAAGCAGGGGAUCUUCGGACCUUGCGCGAUUGAAUGAGCCGAUGUCGGAUUAGCUAGUUGGCGGGGUAAAGGCCCACCAAGGCGACGAUCCGUAGCUGGUCUGAGAGGAUGAUCAGCCACACUGGAACUGAGACACGGUCCAGACUCCUACGGGAGGCAGCAGUGGGGAAUAUUGGACAAUGGGCGCAAGCCUGAUCCAGCCAUACCGCGUGGGUGAAGAAGGCCUUCGGGUUGUAAAGCCCUUUUGUUGGGAAAGAAAAGCAGCAGGUUAAUACCCCGCUGUUCUGACGGUACCCAAAGAAUAAGCACCGGCUAACCUCGUG
RNAcentral lists this ribosomal RNA (492 nucleotides) under uncultured bacterium. Its description in RNAcentral is "partial 16S ribosomal RNA". It matches the Rfam family "Bacterial small subunit ribosomal RNA", at positions 29 to 507 of the family's 1533-position model. The record is from RNAcentral.